RNAcentral lists this ribosomal RNA (1379 nucleotides) under Alteromonas marina. RNAcentral describes it as "bacterial LSU rRNA". It matches the Rfam family "Bacterial large subunit ribosomal RNA", at positions 1585 to 2925 of the family's 2925-position model. The record is from RNAcentral. Lineage: Bacteria; Pseudomonadati; Pseudomonadota; Gammaproteobacteria; Alteromonadales; Alteromonadaceae.
GUGAAGUUGUUGAUGCCCUGCUUCCAGGAAAAGCUUCUAAACUUAUGAUUAUAUGAACCGUACCCCAAACCGACACAGGUGGUCAGGUAGAGAAUACUAAGGCGCUUGAGAGAACUCGGGUGAAGGAACUCGGCAAAAUUGUACCGUAACUUCGGGAGAAGGUACGCCUCUGUUUGUGAACACUUCGCGUGGUAAGCAAAUGGAGGCCGCAGUGACCAGGUGGCUGGGACUGUUUAUUAAAAACACAGCACUCUGCAAACUCGUAAGAGGACGUAUAGGGUGUGACACCUGCCCGGUGCCGGAAGGUUAAUUGAUGGGGUUAGUUUUCGGACGAAGCUCUUGAUCGAAGCCCCGGUAAACGGCGGCCGUAACUAUAACGGUCCUAAGGUAGCGAAAUUCCUUGUCGGGUAAGUUCCGACCUGCACGAAUGGUGUAACCAUGGCCACGCUGUCUCCACCCGAGACUCAGUGAAAUUGAAAUCGCAGUGAAGAUGCUGUGUACCCGCACCUAGACGGAAAGACCCCGUGAACCUUUACUACAGCUUGGCACUGAACAUUGAACCUACAUGUGUAGGAUAGGUGGGAGGCUUUGAAGCACAGUCGCUAGAUUGUGUGGAGCCGUCCUUGAAAUACCACCCUUGUAUGUUUGAUGUUCUAACAUUGGCCCCUUAUCGGGGUUGUGGACAGUGUCUGGUGGGUAGUUUGACUGGGGCGGUCUCCUCCCAAAUAGUAACGGAGGAGCACGAAGGUUAGCUAAUCACGGUCGGACAUCGUGAGGUUAGUGCAAUGGCAUAAGCUAGCUUAACUGCGAGACAGACACGUCGAGCAGGUACGAAAGUAGGUCAUAGUGAUCCGGUGGUUCUGUAUGGAAGGGCCAUCGCUCAACGGAUAAAAGGUACUCCGGGGAUAACAGGCUGAUACCGCCCAAGAGUUCAUAUCGACGGCGGUGUUUGGCACCUCGAUGUCGGCUCAUCACAUCCUGGGGCUGAAGUCGGUCCCAAGGGUAUGGCUGUUCGCCAUUUAAAGUGGUACGCGAGCUGGGUUUAGAACGUCGUGAGACAGUUCGGUCCCUAUCUGGUGUGGGCGUUGGAUGAUUGAUGGGAGCUGCUCCUAGUACGAGAGGACCGGAGUGGACGAACCGCUGGUGUUCGGGUUGUCAUGCCAAUGGCAUUGCCCGGUAGCUAUGUUCGGAACGGAUAACCGCUGAAAGCAUCUAAGCGGGAAGCCGGCCCAAAGAUGAGUCAUCCCUGACCUUUAAGGUCUGGAAGGGUUGUUAUAGACGAUGACGUUGAUAGGCAGGGUGUGGAAGCGUUGUAAGGCGUUAAGCUAACCUGUACUAAUUGCCCGAGAGGCUUAACCAUACAACGCCCAAGAAGCUUU